AGAAAAGUUGGAAACUAUGAUAAAUCUCUUCUAUGUGGGCACUUUAGAGAUUUGGAGUUACUUGUGCAACCGGCCAACAAUUAA
RNAcentral lists this non-coding RNA (84 nucleotides) under Clostridium sp. RNAcentral's name for it is "c-di-GMP-II sequence". It matches the Rfam family "Cyclic di-GMP-II riboswitch aptamer". The record is from RNAcentral. Lineage: Bacteria; Bacillati; Bacillota; Clostridia; Eubacteriales; Clostridiaceae.